This 149-nucleotide ribosomal RNA is filed under the name Tolypocladium sp. 20124730e. RNAcentral's name for it is "partial 18S ribosomal RNA". It matches the Rfam family "Eukaryotic small subunit ribosomal RNA", at positions 1685 to 1831 of the family's 1831-position model. Lineage: Eukaryota; Fungi; Ascomycota; Sordariomycetes; Hypocreales; Ophiocordycipitaceae. The record is from RNAcentral.
CCGAUUGAAUGGCUCAGUGAGGCGUCCGGACUGGCCCAGAGAGGUGGGCAACUACCACUCAGGGCCGGAAAGCUCUCCAAACUCGGUCAUUUAGAGGAAGUAAAAGUCGUAACAAGGUCUCCGUUGGUGAACCAGCGGAGGGAUCAUUA